RNAcentral lists this ribosomal RNA (459 nucleotides) under uncultured bacterium. RNAcentral's name for it is "partial 16S ribosomal RNA". It matches the Rfam family "Bacterial small subunit ribosomal RNA", at positions 338 to 795 of the family's 1533-position model. The record is from RNAcentral.
CCUACGGGCGGCAGCAGUGAGGAAUAUUGGUCAAUGGGCGCGAGCCUGAACCAGCCAAGUCGCGUGAGGGAAGACGGCCCUAUGGAUUGUAAACCUCUUUUGUCGGGGAGCAAAAGCCGCCACGCGUGGCGUUCCGAGAGUACCCGAAGAAAAAGCAUCGGCUAACUCCGUGCCAGCAGCCGCGGUAAUACGGAGGAUGCGAGCGUUAUCCGGAUUUAUUGGGUUUAAAGGGUGCGCAGGCGGAAGAUCAAGUCAGGGGUAAAAUUGAGGGGCUAAACCUGUUAGAGCCGUUGAAACUGGUUUUCUAGAGUGAGCGAGAGGUAUGCGGAAUGCGUGGUGUAGCGGUGAAAUGCAUAGAGAUCACGCAGAACACCGAUUGCGAAGGCAGCAUACCGGCGCUCAACUGACGCUCAUGCACGAAAGUGUGGGUAUCGAACAGGAUUAGAUACCCUGGUAGUC